GCCAGGUCUCCACAAAACAGAGACCAACCAUUGUUCUUCUCAAGUCAUCACCUUUCACUCACCAGAUGGCUACACUAACAACACAGAUCAAUGCCCCAUAACCCAGUGACCUCACCGGCGCUGAUCUCACCACUAAACAGUGAACACUGCCCAGAAUUUGAGAUCCAUCCGAGUCAUGUUUGAAAAAAUAACUUUUUCGAUCUGAUCCUAGUGUCUCAAGCCUUCCCAAAGACUCCUGCUAUCAAAACUCCAAUCCAACAAGAUCAAGCUAGAUCCACCAUUCAAACCCGCCAAACU
Molecule: unclassified non-coding RNA, 297 nt
Filed under: Hevea brasiliensis (rubber tree)
Lineage: Eukaryota; Viridiplantae; Streptophyta; Magnoliopsida; Malpighiales; Euphorbiaceae
Source: RNAcentral